AUAAAUUUAUUCAAUAUCAAAAAAUAUUGGCCGUGUGAUGGCAAAUACAGAGGGUAAAUCCCCUUAUUAUAAA
Molecule: transfer RNA, 73 nt
Filed under: Lichtheimia hongkongensis
Lineage: Eukaryota; Fungi; Mucoromycota; Mucoromycetes; Mucorales; Lichtheimiaceae
Description: tRNA-Gly
Source: RNAcentral